Molecule: non-coding RNA, 113 nt
Organism: Acanthosepion pharaonis
Lineage: Eukaryota; Metazoa; Mollusca; Cephalopoda; Sepiida; Sepiidae
Source: the annotation of a GenBank genome assembly
UUACGGCCAUAUCACGUUGAAACACCGGUUCUUGCCCGAUCAGUGAAGUUAAGUAACGUUGAAACUGGUUAGUACCGAGAUGAGGGACCGCUGGGAAUGCCAGAUGCUGUAAG